AUUUAUAUAGUUUAAAAAAAACAAUACAUUUUCAUUGUAUAAAUAAUGUUUAUUAUAUUUAUAAAUA
This 67-nucleotide transfer RNA is filed under the name Conocephalus maculatus (maculated rice katydid). RNAcentral's name for it is "tRNA-Glu". The record is from RNAcentral. Lineage: Eukaryota; Metazoa; Arthropoda; Insecta; Orthoptera; Tettigoniidae.